GGACAGGGCUACAUGCACCAGGACACGCAGGGGUUGAUGUUUGGACAUGACUGUGAAUACAAAAGACACAAGGGAUUCUGCAGUGAGACAGAAAGAAAUGAGCACUGCAUACAUGCCGACAGCGCAGAUUGAAGAUGCUCCCUAACGUCUAUGUGCAUCCAUCCCCAGCUGUACAAAUGAUGCAUUUUCCCAGCAAGGUGGACUCAAGGCACUCUGCACCUCUCCUCGCUUUGUAUUCUGACUACAUUAGAAGGUGAGAAGACAUUAAAUUUGCCUUUUGCCAUUCUGAAAUGGACAGUCUGAUAAAGGAACAGCCACUUGCAUGAAGAUACAAUAGGCCAUUGGAAGGAGCUGUCGGUUGAGGACCAGCCCUCAGCUUCCCAGAAUACCACUCUUCCCAUAGAAGCACACUACUGUCUACUGGAAGAUCAUCAAUUGAACUUAGCCUAUUUUUCAUUUUGCCUCAUAAAAUCAGCCUUCCAACCCUUCACUCAUUUUUAUUCUCUUUCAGCUCAUCUCUAAGAGUUCCACGUGGCAUAAGAUAAUGUAACUUUUCAAUAAAACAUAAAAUAAUCAGUUCAUUUAUUCAUCAGAAGUCUCAGCCUUCUAGCUUUACUAUUUUUCUGUAUCUCCCAGUAAAAAUAAUUCUUUGCUGCUA
This is a long non-coding RNA of Mastomys coucha (southern multimammate mouse), 658 nucleotides long. RefSeq lists it as uncharacterized. The transcript is spliced from 3 exons. Lineage: Eukaryota; Metazoa; Chordata; Mammalia; Rodentia; Muridae. The record is from RefSeq and is a predicted model, not a curated record.